UAUGAAAGCUUUGGGGAUUCUUGAAAAG
RNAcentral lists this non-coding RNA (28 nucleotides) under Mus musculus (house mouse). Lineage: Eukaryota; Metazoa; Chordata; Mammalia; Rodentia; Muridae. The record is from RNAcentral.